RNAcentral lists this ribosomal RNA (253 nucleotides) under uncultured bacterium. RNAcentral describes it as "partial 16S ribosomal RNA". It matches the Rfam family "Bacterial small subunit ribosomal RNA", at positions 524 to 776 of the family's 1533-position model. The record is from RNAcentral.
GACGAACCGUGCAAACGUUGUUCGGAACCACUGGGCUUAAAGGGUGCGUAGGCGGGUGAUCAAGUCCGGGGUGAAAUCCUCCAGCUUAACUGGAGAAUAGCCCUGGAUACUGGUUGUCUUGAGGAAGGUAGGGGCAUGUGGAACUUCCGGUGGAGCGGUGAAAUGCGUAGAUAUCGGAAGGAACGCCGGUGGCGAAAGCGACGUGCUGGACCUUUUCUGACGCUGAGGCACGAAAGCCAGGGGAGCAAACGGG